GUGGACUUCAACACUGAGGUGGACACAAAGAACAUUCUGGUGGCAGCAUGUGUCUUAAAGGAUUUUCUUCGAAAUAUUCCAAAAAGUGUUUUCUCCACUGAUAUUUUUGAUGAGUGGCUGGGCAUCAUGGACGGAGCUGAUGAAGAUGAAGAGAAAAUAAGGAGAGUUAAGAGGGCAUUGGAGCGGCUUCCUAGGAUGAAUUUCAUUCUUUUGAGGCAUCUAUUUGACUUGUUGUGCAACAUCAAGCAACAAGCAACCGUAAAUCAGAUGACGUCAUACAACCUGGGAGUGUGCUUUGCUCCUAGUCUUCUUUGGCCACCAUGUUCUUCCAGUCCUGAG
Long non-coding RNA from Trichosurus vulpecula (common brushtail), 339 nucleotides. RefSeq lists it as uncharacterized. The record is from RefSeq and is a predicted model, not a curated record. Lineage: Eukaryota; Metazoa; Chordata; Mammalia; Diprotodontia; Phalangeridae. The transcript has 3 exons.